AUUGAACGCUGGCGGCAGGCCUAACACAUGCAAGUCGAACGGUAACAGGAAACAGCUUGCUGUUUCGCUGACGAGUUGCGGACGGGUGAGUAAUGUCUGGGAAACUGCCUGAUGGAGGGGGAUAACUACUGGAAACGGUAGCUAAUACCGCAUAACGUCGCAAGACCAAAGAGGGGGACCUUCGGGCCUCUUGCCAUCGGAUGUGCCCAGAUGGGAUUAGCUAGUAGGUGGGGUAACGGCUCACCUAGGCGACGAUCCCUAGCUGGUCUGAGAGGAUGACCAGCCACACUGGAACUGAGACACGGUCCAGACUCCUACGGGAGGCAGCAGUGGGGAAUAUUGCACAAUGGGCGCAAGCCUGAUGCAGCCAUGCCGCGUGUAUGAAGAAGGCCUUCGGGUUGUAAAGUACUUUCAGCGGGGAGGAAGGGAGUAAAGUUAAUACCUUUGCUCAUUGACGUUACCCGCAGAAGAAGCACCGGCUAACUCCGUG
This 490-nucleotide ribosomal RNA is filed under the name uncultured bacterium. RNAcentral describes it as "partial 16S ribosomal RNA". It matches the Rfam family "Bacterial small subunit ribosomal RNA", at positions 30 to 507 of the family's 1533-position model. The record is from RNAcentral.